This is a long non-coding RNA of Callorhinus ursinus (northern fur seal), 1875 nucleotides long. RefSeq lists it as uncharacterized. The record is from RefSeq and is a predicted model, not a curated record. Lineage: Eukaryota; Metazoa; Chordata; Mammalia; Carnivora; Otariidae.
AUUUCUCAGUGUCCUCAGAGUGCUCACUAUACCUCCAGCACCACUACCCGAUUCCAGUUCAUUUCGCCACCCCAAAAACGAUGUCCCAGCUCUCGGAUCCCUCCCAGUCCCAUAACCAUGGAUUCCUCCACCAGCACUACCAACAUCGCCACUUCCCAUCUUCAUUCUGGAAACCCCUUACGGCCAAGAGGAAACUCUCCAGUAUACUAGCAGCGAACGCGUGAUAUGAUCACCUUAUGCAGGACCCCAUGCCACGAGCAGUUGUCAUGUUUACCUAGGCUCCUCUUGGCUGUGACACUUUCUCAAACAUUUUAUGUCUCCGAUGACCUUGAAAGCUUUGAAGAAAACUGGUCAGCAGCUUUGUAGACCACGCCUCUGUUGGAAUUCUUCUGAUGCUUCUCUUGAGGAAAAGCAUGGAGGAAGAAGAUCACAGAAAUAAAGCACCAUUCUUGUCUUGUGUCAAGGUUUAUGCCAUCACAUGGUUUAGCGUUCCUGAUGCUGACCUUGGUCCCUGGCUGACGUCAUGCUGUCAAGCUUCUCCACUGUAAAGUUACCCCCCAACCUUCCCCUACCUUACUCUUUGGAAAGAAGUCACUCUGUUCAGCCCCUAUUCAAGGAGCUGGCAAUUACACCUCCUUUCAUCGAGUGGACAGGAUAAUCCUAAAUUAUCUGUUUGAAAUUCUUUUUCAUGUGGGCUGUGUCUAUUCCCCGCAUUUAUUUAGAUCAGUAUGAAGUCUCGGAUAUCUAUUUUAUAUAUAUUUUUAUAAUCCAAAGCUUCUUACUUUUUUGUGUGUGCUCAAACCACGCCAGCUAUGGCCCCUGGCAGUCUCUCCGGCUGACUCCAGUGCCACGGGAGCGUGCCUCCAUCAGUUAGCACUCCCUUAUUUUCUGACACUAUGACAUUCUCUAGGUUCCCCUGGUGUAUUUUGUGACCCAGUCCUAGAACCAGCCAUUUCUUUGAGGCUCCCUGGUUCAUUUUAGUGGAGAACGGUGUUAGAUGCAUGUACUUACUGGGGUAUUAUUUCUUUUAGGCUGUAUAAGCAGACAGAGCAAGUAAAUACAUAUAUGCAUAUUAAUGUGUGGACUUACACGCAUCUACUGGUAUUUCUAUAUGUAAAGCUCUGUAUUCAUAUUAACUAACAUGGGUUCUACUGGUUUCCAAUGCUAUCCAUUAUGACGUGGAUCACUGUAGUCUCCUCCCCUUGCUUAUCCGUAAACUCCACCUCUAACAGUGAGAAACCCCGCUCCCACUACGUCUCAGGCAUGCACUUAAUUGUUCAAACCCAGGAUGAACACAAAGCAGCAUUGGUGAAACAUUGUCAGCCCCGACCCUUGGGGGAGGCAAUGCAAUCCACAGAGCACAGUGCUUACUUUGGCUUUAGUCUCACAGACUGCUCAUUCCCAAACCUACGGACUUCAACAUUUUUUGCCCUGAGUCCCUUCAGUGAGGUUGUUUCAUACAUUUGUCAUGCACAGUCUGCAUUCCACCCUGAGAUCCUUAGCUUUCUAAGUGAAGUUUAAAUUUCCAUAGAUUGAGGUUCAUUGUAUGUUCUGUAAAGUUCUGUGGGUUUCCACAAAUGUUAAAUGCCAUGUGCUUGCCAUUAUGGUAUCAUACAGAACAGUUCUGACCCCUAAAAACUCUCUGUGUUUCACCUAGUCAAACCUCCCUUCCCCCUAUGAACCCCUGACAACCACGGAUCUUUUUUCCUAUCUCUAUAGUUUUGCGUGUUCCAGAAUACAUAUAAUUGGGGUACUACACUAUGUAGCCUUUUCAGACUGUCUUCUUUCACUUGAUGUAUUAACAUUUUAAAUUAAAGGGAAAUACCUAAUUUGUGAUCACUGAGAAAGUAAGAAAUAAAACAAUGUGUGCCUGUA